Long non-coding RNA from Vollenhovia emeryi, 1088 nucleotides. RefSeq lists it as uncharacterized. The record is from RefSeq and is a predicted model, not a curated record. Lineage: Eukaryota; Metazoa; Arthropoda; Insecta; Hymenoptera; Formicidae. The transcript has 4 exons.
UAGAAUUGGACUUGGACGGAACGGCAAGACAGACCCACAGUCCUUGGCCACUGGUGCCCAUCGUCGCCAACGACCAAUCGUGGCACUGCGAGGCCUUUCACCACGCCUCCGAUUCACGCCCAAAUGGUACCAGACGAUGGGCAUCUCUCGCGACUUUAUUGCCGCGCUUUACGAGCAUGCUCCAUGCUUAUACACCGUGCUCGUUGUUUCUCGAUGGACACAAGGGGGGGCCCCGUCCUGAGCUAUCGGGGAAGUGACAAUGCACGACUGAAACAGGAUGCGACACAAUAGCAGCGACGGUGACGUAAGGCGGUGAUCGAUCGUUUUGGUUUCCCUUGAUGACAAUGGCCCAAUAAUGCUACCGAUUGGCGAGAGAAACCGGUCUGGACGGAAAUUUAAGAGAUCCCAACAACCAUAAAGAUGCUCCAGUUGGUAUCGCUCAAAGGGAUCUCAAUGUAUUACUCUUAUGACGAUGUUGACAGACUCAUUGCAGCGGAACUGCGUGAGUUUUUGAACUCUGAAGCCAAUGUUUUCAGUAGUUAAAUUUCGUAUUUCGAGAAAGACGAAUACAGAGAAAAAAACUCCUCCGUUUAGCUUAUUCUAGUUGGCAUUUCUGUCCAAACUAUAUUAGAGAAUGUUUGAUUACAAUUUAUAAGAUAUUUAGAUACUCGAGAGUGUGCAGUGGAAACAUAUCUCUUGCAUUGAAUCUAACAUCGAUCUUAAUAUUGAAAUACUCUUUUGAAAUAUAGAAUUUAAAAAGUAAAAUAUUUAAAUGUUGUAUCCAAGUUUUUCCAAUUAUACCUUUCAGUCUUACUGUUGAAAUUAUAUUUUGCAAAAAUGCAUUAAUGGAUAAUAAAGGAAUUAAAAUGUUGACUUAAGUACUUUUAUAAAAUUUUGAUAAAACCAACAGCACUAUGAAUCUUAUCGCGUUCGUUGUAGCCAUUAAGAUAUACAGAAAAUAACUCCAUCAAAGAAAUAACGGCUAAACAGCAGGAGAUCCAACGGAUGUCUCUCAUUAUCGAAAACAAAGAUAAAGGUAUACAGAAAGUAAAAAGUAAAGGUAAACCAGGUAAAGGCAACACGCAGAG